UUAAAUUGAAGAGUUUGAUCAUGGCUCAGAUUGAACGCUGGCGGCAGGCCUAACACAUGCAAGUCGAACGGUAGCACAGAGAGCUUGCUCUCGGGUGACGAGUGGCGGACGGGUGAGUAAUGUCUGGGAAACUGCCUGAUGGAGGGGGAUAACUACUGGAAACGGUAGCUAAUACCGCAUAACGUCGCAAGACCAAAGAGGGGGACCUUCGGGCCUCUUGCCAUCAGAUGUGCCCAGAUGGGAUUAGCUAGUAGGUGGGGUAACGGCUCACCUAGGCGACGAUCCCUAGCUGGUCUGAGAGGAUGACCAGCCACACUGGAACUGAGACACGGUCCAGACUCCUACGGGAGGCAGCAGUGGGGAAUAUUGCACAAUGGGCGCAAGCCUGAUGCAGCCAUGCCGCGUGUAUGAAGAAGGCCUUCGGGUUGUAAAGUACUUUCAGCGGGGAGGAAGGUGUUGUGGUUAAUAACCACAGCAAUUGACGUUACCCGCAGAAGAAGCACCGGCUAACUCCGUGCCAGCAGCCGCGGUAAUACGGAGGGUGCAAGCGUUAAUCGGAAUUACUGGGCGUAAAGCGCACGCAGGCGGUCUGUCAAGUCGGAUGUGAAAUCCCCGGGCUCAACCUGGGAACUGCAUUCGAAACUGGCAGGCUAGAGUCUUGUAGAGGGGGGUAGAAUUCCAGGUGUAGCGGUGAAAUGCGUAGAGAUCUGGAGGAAUACCGGUGGCGAAGGCGGCCCCCUGGACAAAGACUGACGCUCAGGUGCGAAAGCGUGGGGAGCAAACAGGAUUAGAUACCCUGGUAGUCCACGCCGUAAACGAUGUCGAUUUGGAGGUUGUGCCCUUGAGGCGUGGCUUCCGGAGCUAACGCGUUAAAUCGACCGCCUGGGGAGUACGGCCGCAAGGUUAAAACUCAAAUGAAUUGACGGGGGCCCGCACAAGCGGUGGAGCAUGUGGUUUAAUUCGAUGCAACGCGAAGAACCUUACCUGGUCUUGACAUCCACAGAACUUUCCAGAGAUGGAUUGGUGCCUUCGGGAACUGUGAGACAGGUGCUGCAUGGCUGUCGUCAGCUCGUGUUGUGAAAUGUUGGGUUAAGUCCCGCAACGAGCGCAACCCUUAUCCUUUGUUGCCAGCGGUUAGGCCGGGAACUCAAAGGAGACUGCCAGUGAUAAACUGGAGGAAGGUGGGGAUGACGUCAAGUCAUCAUGGCCCUUACGACCAGGGCUACACACGUGCUACAAUGGCGCAUACAAAGAGAAGCGACCUCGCGAGAGCAAGCGGACCUCAUAAAGUGCGUCGUAGUCCGGAUUGGAGUCUGCAACUCGACUCCAUGAAGUCGGAAUCGCUAGUAAUCGUAGAUCAGAAUGCUACGGUGAAUACGUUCCCGGGCCUUGUACACACCGCCCGUCACACCAUGGGAGUGGGUUGCAAAAGAAGUAGGUAGCUUAACCUUCGGGAGGGCGCUUACCACUUUGUGAUUCAUGACUGGGGUGAAGUCGUAACAAGGUAACCGUAGGGGAACCUGCGGUUGGAUCACCUCCUUACCUUAAAGAA
This 1552-nucleotide ribosomal RNA is filed under the name Enterobacter cloacae. Its description in RNAcentral is "bacterial SSU rRNA". It matches the Rfam family "Bacterial small subunit ribosomal RNA". RNAcentral also lists the same sequence under 1 other name. Lineage: Bacteria; Pseudomonadati; Pseudomonadota; Gammaproteobacteria; Enterobacterales; Enterobacteriaceae. The record is from RNAcentral.